This 253-nucleotide ribosomal RNA is filed under the name uncultured bacterium. RNAcentral describes it as "partial 16S ribosomal RNA". It matches the Rfam family "Bacterial small subunit ribosomal RNA", at positions 524 to 776 of the family's 1533-position model. The record is from RNAcentral.
GACAGAGGGGGCAAGCGUUGCUCGGAAUCACUGGGCGUAAAGGGCGCGUAGGCGGGAUGGCAAGUCAGUCGUGAAAUCUCUCGGCUCAACCGAGAAACGUCGGCUGAUACUGCCGUUCUUGAGGGAUGCAGAGGAGACUGGAAUUCCCGGUGUAGCGGUGAAAUGCGUAGAUAUCUGGAGGAACACCGGUGGCGAAGGCGACAUCCUGGACCAACACUGACGCUGAGGAGCGAAAGCCAGGGGAGCAAACGGG